Triticum aestivum (bread wheat) is the source of this 1741-nucleotide long non-coding RNA. RefSeq lists it as uncharacterized. The record is from RefSeq and is a predicted model, not a curated record. The transcript has 3 exons. Lineage: Eukaryota; Viridiplantae; Streptophyta; Magnoliopsida; Poales; Poaceae.
UCCAGAUGGCACGAUACAAUUAUUAUCCUUCGGCGCUCCACCGCCUAUAGGCGUACAUAAAAAGGCUCUCCUUCUGGUUCAUCUCAUUUCCAUCGGGCCACCUACAGCCGUGCCGCCGGAUCCCUGCCGCCUCCGGCGACCCUCAACCAUCACGUCACGGCCUUGCAGCUCACCCCACCGCCGGAGACGCACUGCCCCAACCCACCUUCCACCAGCGGUCGAGUUGUGGUUGCCCAUCUUCUCCUCACCACGCUCCGCCUCGGCCGCCUCGCCACAUCAGGGUCAUCAACGUCGGCGUCGUGGCGAUCAGCACUGCACGGACUUCUCCAGCACCCCCGUGACGUGGUGGGCAACAUGCGCGCGCUGGCCAGCGGGGGAGUUGCCCUUCACGCAUGGCUGCCGGAUCCCUCGUUGAGCCGCAUCCAGAGCUUCCUCGGCCGUUCCCCGCGGCGGUGCCGGCAGCCACCACAGCGGACGGGGCACAGUUUCCCCCACCUCGCCAUCGCCAUGGACGGCACAACUGUGACCCCCGGUGGCCGGUCUCCCCUCCGGUGAGCAGAGGAUCACCACCACAACUGAGCCAUCUUCUGAAGAGACGAAUCAACGGCAGCGGACCACCACACCGGACCAGAACCAGAACGGAAAGAAAAGGAGGCCGUGAAGGAGGUUGAAGAGAGGAAGGCUAGGUGCCUCACAGCCCAGGUCAACGCCGGGAAGAAGAGGAGACGCGAACAAGUGGAGGAAAGGAGAGGUCCUCGCCAUCAAGAUUCAUUUUGCUGAACAGGUUCAAGUGGCUUCGCGACAAGGUUUGAAAACAUGCUUCAGGGUGACCAUGGGAUGCCCACAGGAGAGUUAACUUUGUUAAAUACACUAUCAGUAGAAGAAGCACAAACAGCCCUCCACAAAAACUUCUACAGUUUUGUGUCUACAUCGCAGUACAAAAGACGGCUAGCAAUGAGCUAUCAUGUCGAACAAGCAAAGCUCAGUUGGUGAUGCACUCGCCUGUAGAAAGUACGACCAAGGAAAAGCAAUAAUCAAAGGUGCAUUAAACUACUCCCUCCGUCCCAAAAUUCUUGUCUUAGAUUUGUCUAAAUACGGAUGUAUCAAGUCACGUUUUAGUAUUAGAUACACCCGUAUCUAGACAAAUUUAAGACAAGAAUUUUGGGACGGAGGAAGUAACAUACUUACCACUGCAAUAAGAGAAAUAUUUCUUCCGAAGGCUUUUUCUUUUGUCCUCUGUUAGAGGUGUUGCUUUUAAAGAAAUUUGCUACUGUAUUUGCUUAUGCGGGAUGUUUGAUUAGCCAAAUAUUUCUACUUUUUGGCCUCUGCUAAGGGAUCUAUAUCGUUCGAGGACUCUAGACAAAUUUUAAUGUGAUUUUGUGUUUUCAAUUUGUACUACACAAGUUGAGUAAAGUAGAUGUGAUUUGUGUUUUCAAUUUGUUCUACACAGGUUGACUGAAGUAGAUGUUCUACCUGAAGUUGCAUGAAAACAUCUUAGGUACUCCCUCCGUUCGGAAUUACUUGUCGCAGAAAUGGAUGUAUGUAGAUGUAUUUUAGUUCUAGAUACAUCCAUUUCCGAGACAAGUAAUUCCGAACGGAGGGAGUAGUAAUUUUUGCCUUCAUGAAGCUAAACAAACAUUUCCACCUUUUUGUCGAAUAGCAAAAUUUUAAGCCGUGGUUAUGUAUUCGAAAGAUAUAGAUAUCAUUAUUUGCAACAUUCUUUUUACUUUCAGUGGCUAAA